GACCGUUGCCAUGUAUAGUAGAUCGUUACAGUCUGUUAGCAGACCGUUGCUCUGUAUAACAGACUAUUGCUAUAGACGCAGUUCUGAUAUCGGACUCUGACGGACGAUUUUUGUGU
Sebastes umbrosus (honeycomb rockfish) is the source of this 116-nucleotide long non-coding RNA. RefSeq lists it as uncharacterized. Lineage: Eukaryota; Metazoa; Chordata; Actinopteri; Perciformes; Sebastidae. The transcript is spliced from 4 exons. The record is from RefSeq and is a predicted model, not a curated record.